Sander lucioperca (pikeperch) is the source of this 772-nucleotide long non-coding RNA. RefSeq lists it as uncharacterized. The transcript is spliced from 2 exons. Lineage: Eukaryota; Metazoa; Chordata; Actinopteri; Perciformes; Percidae. The record is from RefSeq and is a predicted model, not a curated record.
AGUUCACUUGUUGACAGUUGACGUGCAGUAGCCGUCUCAGUUUUGGAUUUCGUUACAAAGGUCUUGUAUUUUUUUUUGCCUCUCCUAGGAUUAAGUUCAUACCGUAACAAAAUUAACUGUUACUAUUGAAGGCUAAUUAAAAACUGACCGGAGCCCGUCGCUGGAAGCACCGGAGGACAGAGACACAAAGUAAACACGCCUCUCUGACCGGUACCGGGGGGUUAGUGAUUAAACUGAGCGGAGGAUGUACAGAAUGUGUCGGUGUGUGUCGGAGCCUGGCUGGCCGCUCGGCGCCUUCAGACAAAGCUCAAGCUAACAGGCUAACGGCUUAUUAUCUGCUAAGAUUUGAUCUGUGAGCGCAUUAAUCUGCUCGGUGUGUGUCUUAUAACAAACAUAGCGAGCAGCCGCCGGACUCUUAACAUCUGUUGAUCUGUGCAGGACUUCACUGUAACUGGACUGUUUAGAGACCAUGUGACCGGCAUGUAACUUUAAAGGUUAUCUGCUACUGUAGCAGAGCUGCAGGUAUUCAUGCACGACUGUUAUUGGUGAUUUACAGAGAUGGAAGACUUACUCAGAUCAUGUAUUGCAAUAAAAGUAGAAAAAACAGUGUUGUAGAGUUACAAAUUACUUUAAUAGUACAAAAGUAUUAUCAAAAUAUACUUAAGUACCAAAAGUAAAAGUGCCUAUUAUGCAGUGUAAUAUAUCUUAUUUUAUUGGAUUAUAUUAUGAUCCAAUAAAUUGUAUUAAAUAUGACUGAUAAUUUAAAUAAAAU